AGGAUCCAAAUUAGAUAAUAAAAUAUAAAACAAAUAUAAGUAGCUCCCAGCAUAUAUUGUGCAUGCAUAACAUACAAUCCUAAAGAUGUUUUAUGAAUGGUCACAACCAAGGUAUGCUGAACCGGUACCAUCGGCCGUUUCGGUCGGCCGGCGGUACAGUUCGGUAUGAUUUCAUACCAUACCAAACCGACAAUCCGAACCGGAAGAAAAAAAGAGAGAUAGAGAGAGAAAGAGGAAAACAAAAAAGAGGGAGGGGAGGAAGCCGGCGGGGCCGCCGGACGGCCUCCGAGUGGCCGCCGUGGCUGUCGGAGGGCGCAGUCCACGCGCGCGGCGCCGCAGGCGCGAAACAGGGGCAUCGCCCCUGUUUUGCAAUUUUNNNNNNNNNNNNNNNNNNNNCCGUGGCUGUCGGAGGGCGCAGUCCACGCGCGCGGCGCCGCAGGCGCGAAACAGGGGCAUCGCCCCUGUUUUGCAAUUUUUUUAAAAAACAUGGUUUU
This 494-nucleotide long non-coding RNA is filed under the name Elaeis guineensis (African oil palm). RNAcentral describes it as "long non-coding RNA (EGUI_LNC035467)". Lineage: Eukaryota; Viridiplantae; Streptophyta; Magnoliopsida; Arecales; Arecaceae. The record is from RNAcentral.